AUUGAACGCUGGCGGCAGGCCUAACACAUGCAAGUCGAACGGUAACAGGAAACAGCUUGCUGUUUCGCUGACGAGUGGCGGACGGGUGAGUAAUGUCUGGGAAACUGCCUGAUGGAGGGGGAUAACUACUGGAAACGGUAGCUAAUACCGCAUAACGUCGCAAGACCAAAGAGGGGGACCUUCGGGCCUCUUGCCAUCGGAUGUGCCCAGAUGGGAUUAGCUAGUAGGUGGGGUAACGGCCCACCAAGGCGACGAUCGGUAGCCGGACUGAGAGGUUGAACGGCCACAUUGGGACUGAGACACGGCCCAG
Molecule: ribosomal RNA, 310 nt
Filed under: uncultured bacterium
Lineage: Bacteria
Description: bacterial SSU rRNA
Rfam family: Bacterial small subunit ribosomal RNA
Source: RNAcentral